Molecule: ribosomal RNA, 536 nt
Filed under: Salmonella enterica subsp. enterica serovar Typhimurium
Lineage: Bacteria; Pseudomonadati; Pseudomonadota; Gammaproteobacteria; Enterobacterales; Enterobacteriaceae
Description: bacterial SSU rRNA
Rfam family: Bacterial small subunit ribosomal RNA
Source: RNAcentral
GAUUGGUGCCUUCGGGAACUGUGAGACAGGUGCUGCAUGGCUGUCGUCAGCUCGUGUUGUGAAAUGUUGGGUUAAGUCCCGCAACGAGCGCAACCCUUAUCCUUUGUUGCCAGCGAUUAGGUCGGGAACUCAAAGGAGACUGCCAGUGAUAAACUGGAGGAAGGUGGGGAUGACGUCAAGUCAUCAUGGCCCUUACGACCAGGGCUACACACGUGCUACAAUGGCGCAUACAAAGAGAAGCGACCUCGCGAGAGCAAGCGGACCUCAUAAAGUGCGUCGUAGUCCGGAUUGGAGUCUGCAACUCGACUCCAUGAAGUCGGAAUCGCUAGUAAUCGUGGAUCAGAAUGCCACGGUGAAUACGUUCCCGGGCCUUGUACACACCGCCCGUCACACCAUGGGAGUGGGUUGCAAAAGAAGUAGGUAGCUUAACCUUCGGGAGGGCGCUUACCACUUUGUGAUUCAUGACUGGGGUGAAGUCGUAACAAGGUAACCGUAGGGGAACCUGCGGUUGGAUCACCUCCUUACCUUAAAGAAGC